CGGAACAUGAGCUCCAGCCAGAAAAGAUUCACAGCUGCCACUCUUUAGUUGCUACUUUAAUGGAAAACACAUGUGCAAGAUACCACCCAGGAGACAACUGUGCUCUGACAAAAGGAACGUCACCAGAAAAUGAGCCACGUGAGAGGACUUAUUCUCUUGGAUAGGCCGAACCCAGAAAGAAGGUUGAUAGUAUUGUUCUUAUAUAAAUAUGUGCUGGUCCAAAGAUGAGAUGUGGGACAGAAAUUGAUCUGUAGCAACCAAGUUGAAAGGCAAUGAUGUAAAUUAGCCCUCAACAAUUCUCACUCUACAACAAUUUUACCAUCAGAUUUGAGGAGUUCUUAGCAAAGUUAACAUGAGGAGAAAUCCUGCAAAGGAAUUGGAAGCCAGGGCACAAUGAUGAGUGCAAUUAUUAAAUAGUACCAUUAAUACACAUUAGUUUCCUCCUAUUAGAGAUAGCCAGCCAGCACUGUUCCAAGUGCUGUACACAUAGCAUUAUGUGUAUAUAUAUAUAUAUAUAUACACACACACACACACACACACACAUCUAUACAUCCCUAAUUUAUAGGGUAGGGAUUAUAUGCAUUAGCUUAGGCUGCCAUAACAAAAUACAUAAAAUGGCUUGAAAACAGGAAUUUCUCAAAGUUCUGGAGAAGAAUGAGAUCAAGGUGCCAGCCAUUUAGACUGAUGAGGGCUCUCUUCCUGGUUCGCAGAUGACCACCUUCUUGCUAUGUCCUCACGUGGUGGAGAAAGAGAGGAUGUGAGCUCUCUGGUCUCUUCUUAUAAGAAGACUAAUCCCAUCAUGAGGUGCCACCCUCAUGACUUUACCAAAGCCUAAUUAUCUCCCCCUAACCCCAACUCCAAAUACUGUCACAUUGGAGUUAAGACUUCAAUAUAUGAAUGGGGGGGGGGGGGGAUACAAGUAAGACCAUAGCAUCCACAUUACAAAUGAAUGAUGUUUUGAGAGGUUAUGGAGUUUAUAAUGGAUCAUUCAGUCAACAAUCAGCACUUGAGCUUGAAUCCAGGGCUGUCUGAUUCUGGAGAAUAAUAUCUACUAUUUAUUGACCAUCCAUUAAGGUCUGGGUGAAUUUAUACAAUAUCUCUAAUCUUCACAGAAAAUCUUGCAAGUCAGUAUUCUUCCCAUUUACAAAUAUGGAAACUCUGGCCUAACUCAGGAACCAUCUGAACCUAAUUUAUUGCACAUAAUGUAUCCUGGUGCUUCUAAAAGUAUGGUCCUCAGACCAGCAUCAUUGCCAUAUUUACAUGGAAACAAAAUAGAAAUGCAACUUCUUGGGCCAAACAACAAACCUACUGAAUCAGAAACUCUUGGAAUGGUGUCUACAAUUUGUGUUUCAACAUGCCUUCUAGGUGAUUCUGGGUCAUGUUAAGGUUUGAGAUCAAUUUGUUCCAUAAAUUUAUUAGAAUAAUUAAUAUAUUCAAAACUCAAUAAUAACUGGUAUAUCUGAGAUUCAAAUACAGGUCUACUUGGUGUCAAAGCCUUUUUCUAAAUGAUACUUCCCCAUCUCAACCUUAUCAAAGGAAGAUCUUGAAGACUGAACAUUUUAAAUGAAGUGUGACUGCAGAGCAUAAUUCUGAAUUCUGCUUUGCCAUUAUAAUGCUAAUCAGCUCUCCUACCUACAGUAAUAUGAUAUAGGGAAAUGUUGGAAGGACAGUCCCUGAGAAUUGACAAUGAUGCAUUCCACUGAUAAAAAAACACCUUGUGAUAUAAACUAGGAAACCAAGCUUUGUGAAAUUUUAAUUUGGGCCUGACAAUUUUGUUUCUCAUUUAGUGAAAAUGAGAAAUAAGCUAGUAUAGGAAACAGUACAGAACAAAGUUUCUUUUUUUAAAAAGUGAAGCUAAUACCCCUUUGAUUUAUUUUUUUUAAAUCAUGCUUAAUUCAUCUGAUCAACCACUGCUUCAUCUCCAUGAAGUUGCUGUAUAGUUACACCAUUUUUCCUUCUGAGGAACAAGACCAUAUUGAAAGUCUGGAUAGUUUACAGAAAGAGAUAGAAGUCUGACUAUAAUGGAAAUGGCUAAUUGUCAGAGAGAGGUGAAUAAAGGAGCUUGAUCUCAUGUCAAGGCCUUUUAAAAUCAUUUGAAAGGCCAAAGCAUUUUGAUAGAGGUUAUUGCCAAUGCAAUUACGAUCACCUACACAUGUGAUCAGUAUCACCUCUAAAGCAUUUGAUUGAAAAUAUUAAUGAGCAUUGCUAGUCCUGCUGUGUUUUACAUGUAGUUAAGCUCCUUUAAUCAUCACAAACAUGUGAGGUCAGUUCUAGGAUUAUUCCCAUUUCACAGAUGAGGGAAUUGAGAUAUAGAUAGGUUUAGUAACUUGCCAGAUUAAGCCUAUUAAAGAACAUUUGCUGGACAUUCGUUCAGACACGGAUGCUUGACUCUGGAUGGAUGGGCUCAGUGUUGCUCUGCAUCUGGAUUCGUUCCAAAGGCCCAUCUGUGAGGCUGCCUGACGCCUGGGGUGGGACGGUGCAGCCUUCAUAGCGUUGGCACUCCAUCUGGAUAGAGUGAAGAAGAGCAGCAGUGUGAUGCUGCAGCAGAUCUGACAAUCCCCUCGCUCUAGUGAGAGACCAAAGUGAUAAAGGGACAGACUGGGAACUAUAAUUCUAUUGGCCUAUUUGUUUUCCACUUGAUUCUUUUUUUUUUUAUUUUUUUAAUGUUUAUUUUUGAGAGAGAGACAGAGCAUGAGUGGGGAGGAGCAGAGGGAGAGAGAGACACAGAAUCCGGAGCAGGCUCCAGGCUCCGAGCUGUCAGCACAGAGCCCCACACAGGGCUCGAACCCACAAACCAUGAGAUCACGACCUGAGCUGAAGUCAGACGCUUAACUGACUAAGCCACUUAGGCGCCCCUGUUUUCCACUUGAUACUUGAAAAUAAACCUAGUAAUCAUUUAGUUUGUGGUUUUCAUAACUUCACUGACUCCUAACACAUUUGAGUCAAUGAGGCGAGGAUUAGCAUGAUCUGUAGACGUUCAAACUUCUCAUAUGGAAGAGGAAUUGAAAUCCUUUAAAAACAUAUCACCAGCCAGCAGAAAGACGUCCGUGUUUUUCUGCUUCAGAGUUGUAAAUGGAUGUGACUUAAGCCCUAAUUGGGAAAGACUGUGUGAUUUAUAAUAGCAGAUAUUCUUUUAAGUAAACUUCCCAUACUCUUUUAUUCCAUCUACCAAAAAAAAAGCUGUUUUCUGCAGAGCAUGUGGAGGUGAAAAGGGCUUUCCAAAGAAAUUGUUGUGUGUGAUUUUUUAUUCUGUCCUGGUUUGGGAAGUUCAUCUGAGCCUAAGAUCAUCGUGUGCAGCUGACAGGAAGUUUGCUUGAUGGCUUUUGCCUUUCACACCCCUGCUCCCUUUAUCUAAACAGACAGAUUUCCCACUUUCAUACUUCUUCCCCCCUUCUUCCUUCCGUUCACGCAUACCUUCACUCUGCCCAUCCACUCUGAUUCUAUUCACUGACACCAGAAGGAACCCUCUGGAAAGGGAGGUAAAGGUUCUAUAACAUCCAGGGGAGGCUUUUAGUGCAGUAAUUAAUUAAUCAAUUGUCACUGCAGGCUAUGUCCAGACUUCCCAAAUUGUGUAGGCUGAGAGCCUCCUAUUUUGAGCCCCUCUUUUGCUCCUUUGUAAGCAUUUGAGCUCAUUCAAUGUGCUGGGAGCUCCAGAAAGAGCCAGGACCUAUUCCUUGCCCUUAAUGAGCUCAUGCUUGCCUGGGUAGAGGUGAGUGGGUUUAUGGGUAACAAAGCUCUCCCUAGUUUAUCUGAACCCAAAUAGAUUCAUUUACAGGGCAAUUUCUCUUAAAACCCUGUAUGAAGAAGGUCCUGUCAGGCAUCAAAUUCACGAAUCUCCUGGGUCGAGAAUGGUAAGAUUUCUGGUGUAAAAUGAUGAGUUUGGGAAUCAGACCCAUUUAAGUCCAAAUCCCAACUCUGCCUUGGACAAGCUACUGAGUCUCACAGCGUCUCAGUUCUCUGUACUAUAAAAUGGGAAUGAAACUGGCCUCAAGAGUCUGCAUGAGGAUUAAGUGAGAAAAUGUCAUACAAAGCACCUGGCAUAAUUCCUAGCACACAAUAAAGGUUUGUUUCCCUUUUCUUUUUCCUCCCUUCUUCCCAGACCUCACAGGAAGAGGGGUGUGGCCUCUUUAAUGAGAGGACAUGAAAGAGGCUUUAAUAAUAUCAAACACUUCUAUAUCACCUGCUACGUCCCAGGCACCAUUCUAAACUCCUUACAUAUUUUAACUUCCCCCCAAAAUGCUAUGAGAUAAGCACUAUUAUUAUCAUCUCCACUUCAUAAGUGAGGAAACCAAGGCACAGAGAUGCCAAGUAACUUGCCAAGGUCACACACACUGUGAUUCAUACCCAAGUUAUCUAGCUCUUAACCAUCAUGCUAUCAGGAGGCAGAUCAUGAGAAAAAAGCUAACUGCGGCUGGAAUCUGAGUACACAAACCAGAAGUCCUCAGAUAAUGGGCUCUAUUUGUUUGGCAGUGUUUUAAAAAUCAAGAGAGUCCACAUUAGAGCCUAUAUUUCUGACUUCUCGCAAAAAAAGUUGGAAGAUCUGGCAAUAUGCAGCCAUCCUUGUGGCAAUAAGCCACUGACUGGUGACUACUCUCUGGACUAAACACAUUUUCUCUAGUUCAGCACAGUUACCAGUGUUCACAGUUUUAUUAGGUAGGCCCAGCUUCACUUCUGACCUGCACAUGCAUUUGAGCUUGUGAUCCAGAAUUAGGCAAUGCACUAAACAUACUCUUGUCCAUAAAGAUACAAGAACUAUGUUCAAUAAUGUACACCCAAUGGUCAAAAUAUUUGAAUGACAUGAAAGCACAAAUGAAUGCAGAAAAGAAGUCUGAGUAAGAAGCAAUCAACAAUCAGGUUCAAAUCACAACCACUUAUUUAAGUGUGGAUUGGCCUUUGAGCCAUAUGUGCAAGACUGUACACAUUUCCACACCUAAACCAAAAGCAAAAAAUGCAGGUUUUCUUUUAGGCCAUAGGGCUAAGAACCAUUUGCCUUCAAUGUUAAAAACAUCCUUCUUUGUUUGGCAUAUCUGGAUAAGGUAGCUUAAAUUUUCAUGUACUACUUAAUUCAAGCAAUAACUUCUAACUCAUUUUCUUCUUUUAGCUCUUUGGGCCUUGGUGAUUGGCACGAUCUCGGAGAACAGACAGGUAUAUAGCAAAACUCUCCUAGAAACCUGGAAAAUGUGGGGAGGAAAAGGCAUGGAACCUUCUCUGUAUAAGCCUAUGAGAGAAAAGGAAUCACUUCAAUUUACAAGGAAAGAAACUGAGACUAAAGAGCUAUCCAAGACCAUAUAGCCAGCUGACCCAGCAUAUUCUGAGCUGAGUCUAUGUUCUUUCUAAGACUUAAUACUACCUUUCUCAGAGUCUAUCAACCUAAAAAUCAUGUUUAAAGAAGUGAUCUAUGGUAUCACCAUUUGUACCAAAAUGAUAUCACACACCCUGUGUGAUAUCUUCCUAACAAAUCUAUCUUUGCCCAAGAGGGAGUUCUAAUAUUACUCAUCAAUAACCCUGGCUUUGUAACAUCUGAAUUUUUUUUGUUUUACCUUCUCAGUUUUAUUAAACUGAGAUCAAAAUAAACCUCAUUUUUUUUACCAGUUUAUAAUCAUUUUAUUAUGAACCUGCAGUAGGGCUUAUUAUUUACAAAUCACUAAGUGAAAUUUUUAAAAACCAUUUUCUUCCUCUAAUCUCUCCCAUCCUGCUUUCUUAGAAGUACACAAAGCAUUUCAACCACUCCCAAAUUCCCUCUUGAUACCCUUAAUGAUUCUGAAAUAUUUUGUUAUUCCCCAAACACCGCCCUAAAGACAAAUCAUUGGACUCCAGGCUCUUUACACUGCCAAGUUGAAUAGAAUUCAAAUGUUCUAUCUAACUAGACUCUAACUUACAACAAAGACACAUAUAGUAGAUGAUGUGUAAGAUAUUCCAAAAAUACCAAGGCAACAGGAAAAAAAUCUCUGUCAUCAAGAGGUCCUCCCAGAAUUUCUUGUAAUCUGAAAUAAUAAUUUCUAUCAGGACCCUGUAACCUGGUCCUACCACAUAUGUGUAUAUCCUAAUACACUAAUAACAUAAGUCAUCUUUCAUCCUAGUAAUGUAUAACUCAAGAUUUCUCAAUUAAUAUUACAAAAUUUAUUAUUGUUUCUGUAAACAUGAGAGCAUGCACAAAGACUUGAGGAGGAAAAAAAAACAAGGAAAAUAAAAAUAUCCUGGUAAAAUAAAAAUUUUAAAUAAAAUUUUAAGUCAUUUAAAAUACAACAUUGUUUUUUAAUUAAACCAUUCCACAGCAUGGCAUAAAUGUGAAAAUAGGACGCAGAAAGACGUUUUCCAAAAUAAUAUGGGACCCACUAGAAAUUUCUUUUAUGUUAAAAAAAAGUGGUCCAUGGAAGAACAGUUUUCCAAUUGACCAAAGCAUAACCAGGCAUCUCUUCCACUAGAAGUUUCAUCAAAAGACACACUUCCCCUUACCUCAAAGUUUCAAUUCCAGAACCACUUCUUGCCCAAGUUUACUGGGAGUUUUUUUAAACUUUGAGAUAAUCUCACUUAGAAGAUCUUUGGAGGCAUGUAAAGUUUAAGGUAAAUUCUCUUACUAUUUUCAGAAGCAUAUGAACAAAAAAGCAAACUAUGUAAAGCUCCAUAAAAAAUGAUUGAAUUUAUUUUUCCAACUGUAAGCUCCUUGAAGAUAAGGAUUCUCCUUUUCUUCCAUCACUGUUGUAUUACCUGCAUCUAAAAUAAUGCAGAGCACAUAGAAGAUACUUAAUAAAUUCAGUGCUUACAUUAAUAACCUGAAAAAUUCUCUGCAGCCCUGCAAUUUUCAAAGGUUUCAUCAUACAGUUUUCCAUGGCUCUUCAGUUCACUAACCAUAAAGCCACCUGACCUGAAAGAAACCCCAGAGACCGAACAGUAAUUUGCUCUGUCCAUUAACUCACAGAUUUAUAGAGUUUUAGAGCUAUUGGGAUGUUGGAACCUGCCUUUGAACUCUUUUCUUUAACAUAAGAGGAAAGUGAGGUCUAAGCUCUCAGGUUAAGUGACUUAGCCUUUAUUAUCCAGCUGAGAGGUGCCAAAGCCCAUCUUGUUAUUUCCUAUACCUGCCUCUUCACUUCCCAAAAAAAUACUUGUAGACUUGAGGAUUUCAUCUUUAAUACCCUCCCAGAAAUCGCACAUGGUUUCCCCUUAAGCCGUGGUGGAAUGGGCCACAAUUUUAAUAUAAUGUACCAAUAGCCAGGGGUUUUGCUCAACUGAAAAACAGGUGUUUGACUGACUUGCAGGGUCUUGCUUUGGGGGAAAGAUCUGUUGAGUCCACCUGAAAACCUUAAAUGUUUUAAUACUCUUACAUUACUUCAUGAAUAGCUCAGGGGCUGAGGGUGGGGCAGAUAUUGUUGUUUCCUGUCCCUCAUGUAUUGAGACAGAGGAGCAAAAACUUCAAUUUGGCCACAAGAGGGCAGCUACAACAUUUCCUCCUUGAUUUUUGCAGUUCUAACCCAAGGACAAACGUUAUUUCAAGGGCCCAGCCUGCCAUAGAUCACUGAUAGCAACUUUCAACCGAAUCCUCAAUAUGUCACAAAACAUUCUUUCACGGUGUUUCUUGGGACUUUUUUGUUUUGUUUUUAAACAAAUUAUUUUCCAACUUCUUUCCAGAUCUAGAGAGCCCUCUUUUAGAACUCUGUGCCAAGAUGACCAUCUACAAAGAUCUUUGGAGACCAAUAAAUCAUUAGGCUAAUUUGGAAACCCACAGAAGAGGUUUUAUUUUAAUUAUGCUUGACCCCAGAUAAAAAUAAAAACAA
Molecule: long non-coding RNA, 7772 nt
Filed under: Lynx pardinus (Iberian lynx)
Lineage: Eukaryota; Metazoa; Chordata; Mammalia; Carnivora; Felidae
Source: RNAcentral